ACGUAGGUGGCAAGCGUUGUCCGGAAUUAUUGGGCGUAAAGCGCGCGCAGGUGGUUAUAUAAGUCUGAUUUUGAAGUUCGGGGCUCAACCCCGUGAUGGAUUGGAAACUGUAUGACUUGAGUACAGUAGGGGUAAGCGGAAUUCCCAGUGUAGCGGUGGAAUGGGUAGAUAUUGGGAGUGACGCCAGAGGCGAAGGCGACUAACUGGGCUGUAACAGACACUGAGGCGCGUAAGCUAGGGGAGCAAACAG
This 250-nucleotide ribosomal RNA is filed under the name uncultured prokaryote. RNAcentral's name for it is "partial 16S rRNA". It matches the Rfam family "Bacterial small subunit ribosomal RNA", at positions 525 to 775 of the family's 1533-position model. The record is from RNAcentral.